RNAcentral lists this transfer RNA (72 nucleotides) under Ovis aries (sheep). It matches the Rfam family "tRNA". Rfam says of the family: Transfer RNA (tRNA) molecules are approximately 80 nucleotides in length. Their secondary structure includes four short double-helical elements and three loops (D, anti-codon, and T loops). Further hydrogen bonds mediate the characteristic L-shaped molecular structure. tRNAs have two regions of fundamental functional importance: the anti-codon, which is responsible for specific mRNA codon recognition, and the 3' end, to which the tRNAs corresponding amino acid is attached (by aminoacyl-tRNA synthetases). tRNAs cope with the degeneracy of the genetic code in two manners: having more than one tRNA (with a specific anti-codon) for a particular amino acid; and 'wobble' base-pairing, i.e. permitting non-standard base-pairing at the 3rd anti-codon position. The record is from Rfam by way of RNAcentral. Lineage: Eukaryota; Metazoa; Chordata; Mammalia; Artiodactyla; Bovidae.
UCUCUAGUGGUACAGUGGUUAAGAAUUCUGCUUGCAAUGCAGGGUACACAGGUUCAAUUCCUGGUUGGAGAG